Molecule: ribosomal RNA, 481 nt
Filed under: uncultured bacterium
Lineage: Bacteria
Description: partial 16S ribosomal RNA
Rfam family: Bacterial small subunit ribosomal RNA
Source: RNAcentral
UUGAACGCUGGCGGCAUGCCUUACACAUGCAAAUCGAACGGUAACGGGCCUUCGGGUGCCGACGAGUGGCGAACGGGUGAGUAAUACAUCGGAACGUGCCCGAUCGUGGGGGAUAACGAGGCGAAAGCUUUGCUAAUACCGCAUACGAUCUACGGAUGAAAGCAGGGGACCGCAAGGCCUUGCGCGGACGGAGCGGCCGAUGGCAGAUUAGGUAGUUGGUGGGAUAAAAGCUCACCAAGCCGACGAUCUGUAGCUGGUCUGAGAGGAUGAUCAGCCACACUGGGACUGAGACACGGCCCAGACUCCUACGGGAGGCAGCAGUGGGGAAUUUUGGACAAUGGGCGCAAGCCUGAUCCAGCCAUGCCGCGUGCAGGAUGAAGGCCUUCGGGUUGUAAACUGAUUUUGUACGGAACGAAAAGCCUUCUUUUAAUACAGGAGGGUCAUGACGGUACCGUAAGAAUAAGCACCGGCUAACUACGUG